This 410-nucleotide ribosomal RNA is filed under the name uncultured bacterium. RNAcentral describes it as "bacterial SSU rRNA". It matches the Rfam family "Bacterial small subunit ribosomal RNA", at positions 97 to 518 of the family's 1533-position model. The record is from RNAcentral.
GGCGAACGGGUGAGUAACGCGUGAACAACCUGACCCAAAGAGGGGGAUAACAUUUGGAAACAGAUGCUAAUACCGCAUAAGACCACAACGUCACAUGGCGAAGGGGUCAAAGGAGCAAUCCGCUUUGGGAGGGGUUCGCGUCCCAUUAGGUAGUAGCGGGGUAACAGCCCACCUAGCCAACGAUGGGUAGCCGAGCUGAGAGGCUGAUCGGCCACACUGGAACUGAGACACGGUCCAGACUCCUACGGGAGGCAGCAGUGGGGAAUAUUGGGCAAUGGGCGCAAGCCUGAACCCCCAGCAACGCCGCGUGAGGGAAGAAGGUUUUCGGAUUGUAAACCUCUGUCGCAGAAGACGAAGGAAGUGACGGUAUUCUGUGAGGAAGCCCCGGCUAACUACGUGCCAGCAGCCGC